RNAcentral lists this ribosomal RNA (253 nucleotides) under uncultured bacterium. RNAcentral's name for it is "partial 16S ribosomal RNA". It matches the Rfam family "Bacterial small subunit ribosomal RNA", at positions 524 to 776 of the family's 1533-position model. The record is from RNAcentral.
UACGUAGGGUGCGAGCGUUGUCCGGAAUUACUGGGCGUAAAGAGCUCGUAGGUGGUUUGUCGCGUUGUCCGUGAAAACUCACAACUCAAUUGUGGGCGUGCGGGCGAUACGGGCAGACUGGAGUACUGCAGGGGAGACUGGAAUUCCUGGUGUAGCGGUGGAAUGCGCAGAUAUCAGGAGGAACACCGGUGGCGAAGGCGGGUCUCUGGGCAGUAACUGACGCUGAGGAGCGAAAGUGUGGGGAGCGAACGGG